CCUUGAGUUGCUGUGCCCAACAGCAGCAGGGGGAGCUGCAGUGGAGCCAUGACUGAGACACAUGAGUGGGUGUACUCCUUCAGGUCACAGCCCUAUGAUCCUGCCAGAAUUCAGUCUCUAAUCAAGUAACAAAGUGUGGUUGUAUCAGUGACUACAACAACACAAAACAGCUAAAAGGCGACCUAUGACCUUGUUGAAUAGUAUUGAUUUGAUGGUA
Molecule: long non-coding RNA, 217 nt
Filed under: Monodelphis domestica (gray short-tailed opossum)
Lineage: Eukaryota; Metazoa; Chordata; Mammalia; Didelphimorphia; Didelphidae
Description: lncRNA (ENSMODG00000044132.1)
Source: RNAcentral